GAUGAACGCUCGCUACAGGCUUAACACAUGCAAGUCGAGCGGUAACAGAGAGAAGCUUGCUUCUCUGCUGACGAGCGGCGGACGGGUGAGUAAUGCCUAGGAAUCUGCCUAGUAGUGGGGGAUAACUUGCCGAAAGGUAAGCUAAUACCGCAUACGUCCUACGGGAGAAAGGAGGGGACCUUCGGGCCUUUCGCUAUUAGAUGAGCCUAGGUCGGAUUAGUUAGUUGGUGAGGUAAUGGCUCACCAAGACCGCGAUCCGUAACUGGUCUGAGAGGAUGAUCAGUCACACUGGAACUGAGACACGGUCCAGACUCCUACGGGAGGCAGCAGUGGGGAAUAUUGGACAAUGGGGGGAACCCUGAUCCAGCCAUGCCGCGUGUGUGAAGAAGGUCUUAGGAUUGUAAAGCACUUUAAGUUGGGAGGAAGAGCAGUUAACUAAUAUUUGACUGUUUUGACGUUACCGACAGAAUAAGCACCGGCUAACUUCGUG
RNAcentral lists this ribosomal RNA (490 nucleotides) under uncultured bacterium. RNAcentral describes it as "partial 16S ribosomal RNA". It matches the Rfam family "Bacterial small subunit ribosomal RNA", at positions 28 to 507 of the family's 1533-position model. The record is from RNAcentral.